RNAcentral lists this ribosomal RNA (1548 nucleotides) under Enterococcus hirae. RNAcentral describes it as "bacterial SSU rRNA". It matches the Rfam family "Bacterial small subunit ribosomal RNA". Lineage: Bacteria; Bacillati; Bacillota; Bacilli; Lactobacillales; Enterococcaceae. The record is from RNAcentral.
AGAGUUUGAUCCUGGCUCAGGACGAACGCUGGCGGCGUGCCUAAUACAUGCAAGUCGAACGCUUCUUUUUCCACCGGAGCUUGCUCCACCGGAAAAAGAGGAGUGGCGAACGGGUGAGUAACACGUGGGUAACCUGCCCAUCAGAAGGGGAUAACACUUGGAAACAGGUGCUAAUACCGUAUAACAAUCGAAACCGCAUGGUUUUGAUUUGAAAGGCGCUUUCGGGUGUCGCUGAUGGAUGGACCCGCGGUGCAUUAGCUAGUUGGUGAGGUAACGGCUCACCAAGGCGACGAUGCAUAGCCGACCUGAGAGGGUGAUCGGCCACAUUGGGACUGAGACACGGCCCAAACUCCUACGGGAGGCAGCAGUAGGGAAUCUUCGGCAAUGGACGAAAGUCUGACCGAGCAACGCCGCGUGAGUGAAGAAGGUUUUCGGAUCGUAAAACUCUGUUGUUAGAGAAGAACAAGGAUGAGAGUAACUGUUCAUCCCUUGACGGUAUCUAACCAGAAAGCCACGGCUAACUACGUGCCAGCAGCCGCGGUAAUACGUAGGUGGCAAGCGUUGUCCGGAUUUAUUGGGCGUAAAGCGAGCGCAGGCGGUUUCUUAAGUCUGAUGUGAAAGCCCCCGGCUCAACCGGGGAGGGUCAUUGGAAACUGGGAGACUUGAGUGCAGAAGAGGAGAGUGGAAUUCCAUGUGUAGCGGUGAAAUGCGUAGAUAUAUGGAGGAACACCAGUGGCGAAGGCGGCUCUCUGGUCUGUAACUGACGCUGAGGCUCGAAAGCGUGGGGAGCAAACAGGAUUAGAUCCCCUGGUAGUCCACGCCGUAAACGAUGAGUGCUAAGUGUUGGAGGGUUUCCGCCCUUCAGUGCUGCAGCUAACGCAUUAAGCACUCCGCCUGGGGAGUACGACCGCAAGGUUGAAACUCAAAGGAAUUGACGGGGGCCCGCACAAGCGGUGGAGCAUGUGGUUUAAUUCGAAGCAACGCGAAGAACCUUACCAGGUCUUGACAUCCUUUGACCACUCUAGAGAUAGAGCUUCCCCUUCGGGGGCAAAGUGACAGGUGGUGCAUGGUUGUCGUCAGCUCGUGUCGUGAGAUGUUGGGUUAAGUCCCGCAACGAGCGCAACCCUUAUUGUUAGUUGCCAUCAUUUAGUUGGGCACUCUAGCAAGACUGCCGGUGACAAACCGGAGGAAGGUGGGGAUGACGUCAAAUCAUCAUGCCCCUUAUGACCUGGGCUACACACGUGCUACAAUGGGAAGUACAACGAGUCGCAAAGUCGCGAGGCUAAGCUAAUCUCUUAAAGCUUCUCUCAGUUCGGAUUGUAGGCUGCAACUCGCCUACAUGAAGCCGGAAUCGCUAGUAAUCGCGGAUCAGCACGCCGCGGUGAAUACGUUCCCGGGCCUUGUACACACCGCCCGUCACACCACGAGAGUUUGUAACACCCGAAGUCGGUGAGGUAACCUUUUGGAGCCAGCCGCCUAAGGUGGGAUAGAUGAUUGGGGUGAAGUCGUAACAAGGUAGCCGUAUCGGAAGGUGCGGCUGGAUCACCU